Molecule: non-coding RNA, 27 nt
Filed under: Cricetulus griseus (Chinese hamster)
Lineage: Eukaryota; Metazoa; Chordata; Mammalia; Rodentia; Cricetidae
Source: RNAcentral
AAAAAGGAGAGAAGGACAUUCCUGGAC